This 125-nucleotide small RNA is filed under the name Marmota monax (woodchuck). The record is from RNAcentral. Lineage: Eukaryota; Metazoa; Chordata; Mammalia; Rodentia; Sciuridae.
GCCAGGUAUGGUGGUGCAUGUCUGUAAUCCCAGUGGCUUGGGAUGCUGAGGCAGGAGGAUCAUGAGUUCAAAGCCAGCCUCAGCAAAAGUGAGGCACUAAGCAACUGAGUGAAACCCUGUCUCUC